CCCUUAGAUGUUCUGGGCCGCACGCGCGCUACACUGAUGCAUUCAACGAGCCUAUCCUUGACCGACAGGUCCGGGUAAUCUUUGAAUCUGCAUCGUGACGGGGAUAGAUUAUUGCAAUUAUUAAUCUUCAACGAGGAAUGCCUAGUAGGCGCAAGUCAUCAGCUUGCGUCGAUUACGUCCCUGCCCUUUGUACACACCGCCCGUCGCUCCUACCGAUUGGGUGUGCUGGUGAAAUGUUCGGAUCGGCCGUUUGUCGCGGUUUCCUCGUCAUGUGGCUGAGAAGUUCAUUAAACCCUCCCACCUAGAGGAAGGAGAAGUCGUAACA
RNAcentral lists this ribosomal RNA (325 nucleotides) under uncultured eukaryote. Its description in RNAcentral is "partial 18S ribosomal RNA". It matches the Rfam family "Eukaryotic small subunit ribosomal RNA", at positions 1470 to 1796 of the family's 1831-position model. The record is from RNAcentral.